AGGACGAACGCUGGCGGCGUGCCUAACACAUGCAAGUCGAGCGGAGACACUGAGGAGCUUGCUCCGAGGUGUUUUAGCGGCGGACGGGUGAGUAACGCGUGAGCAACCUUUCCUCUACUGGGGAAUAACACAUCGAAAGGUGUACUAAUACCGCAUGAUGUGUCGGGAUCGCAUGAUCCUGACACCAAAGAUUUAUCGCUGAAAGAUGGGCUCGCGUACGAUUAGAUAGUUGGUGAGGUAACGGCUCACCAAGUCGACGAUCGUUAGCCGGACUGAGAGGUUGAACGGCCACAUUGGGACUGAGACACGGCCCAAACUCCUACGGGAGGCAGCAGUGGGGAAUAUUGCACAAUGGGGGAAACCCUGAUGCAGCAACGCCGCGUGAGUGAAGAAGUAUUUCGGUAUGUAAAGCUCUAUCAGCAGGGAAGAAAGAAGACGGUACCUGACUAAGAAGCACCGGCUAAAUACGUG
This 471-nucleotide ribosomal RNA is filed under the name uncultured bacterium. Its description in RNAcentral is "bacterial SSU rRNA". It matches the Rfam family "Bacterial small subunit ribosomal RNA", at positions 26 to 507 of the family's 1533-position model. The record is from RNAcentral.